Long non-coding RNA from Erigeron canadensis, 501 nucleotides. RefSeq lists it as uncharacterized. Lineage: Eukaryota; Viridiplantae; Streptophyta; Magnoliopsida; Asterales; Asteraceae. The record is from RefSeq and is a predicted model, not a curated record. The transcript is spliced from 2 exons.
CAAUAAUACAAAGCCCUUCCCAUCUCUCCUUUAUAAAUACCACUCAUACGUCAAUCAUGUACAAACGCAGUUGCUUCAAUUCAUUUUCGAUUCUCAACUAACACAUUUAGGAUAAAAAGUUCGAUAUUAUACAUGGAUUAUAAACAUCUCGUUACCGAAGAAAGUGUGAGGGAAUCUCUUAUCGCCAUUUCAAACGACGUUCAUGUAGAGAUUGCUUACUUACCCAAGACCCAAAAUGCAAAAGAUAUGGCAGAUGAUACGAUUUCUAACGUUAAAAUCAAGACCCGUGAGGAAUUAAGAUUGGAAUUGAUAUCAAUAGCUUCUUUAGAAUCGUCAAGUGACUACAAUAGUAACGAUGAUUUGUAAAUCGUUGCUUUUUAUAGUGCAUUUUAAACAUCUUUAAUACUGUCAAUUACUUAAUUUUCAGGUAAUAGUAGUAUUAGUCUUGCUCUACCAUUAAUAUAAUGAAAUAAAAAAAACUCUCCAAACAUUUUGUUAUUA